This is a non-coding RNA of Myotis brandtii (Brandt's bat), 75 nucleotides long. Lineage: Eukaryota; Metazoa; Chordata; Mammalia; Chiroptera; Vespertilionidae. The record is from Rfam.
GGCGGUUCUCAAGUGAUGCACCCCAGAAUCCGGCUCCCUCCUCUCUGGUUCUGGGUGAGUCACCUGAGAACUGCA